This 333-nucleotide ribosomal RNA is filed under the name Laparocerus exophthalmus. RNAcentral's name for it is "partial 12S ribosomal RNA". The record is from RNAcentral. Lineage: Eukaryota; Metazoa; Arthropoda; Insecta; Coleoptera; Curculionidae.
GAUACCCUAUUAUUUUAAAAGUAAUUAAAUAAAUCUAAUUAGUAAUAGUUAAGUUCUUGAAAAUUAAAGAAUUUGGCGGUAUUUUAGUCUAUUCAGAGGAAUCUGUCCUAUAAUUGAUAAUCCACGAUUUUUUAUACCUAAUUUAUUAAUUUACAUAUCGCCGUAGUUUGAAUAUUUUUUGAAAAUUAUAAUAUUCAUAAUUUAUUUUUAUAAAAAAAAUCAGGUCAAGGUGUAGUUUAUAGCUAGGAAGAGAUGGGUUACAAUAAAAGUAUUUAUUAUGGAUUAAUUAAUUAAAUUUUUUUAUGAAGGUGGAUUUGAAGGUAAUUUUAUUUA